RNAcentral lists this small RNA (3058 nucleotides) under Pan troglodytes (chimpanzee). RNAcentral describes it as "retained intron". The record is from RNAcentral. Lineage: Eukaryota; Metazoa; Chordata; Mammalia; Primates; Hominidae.
GCACCCAGGUCGGGCGGUGGGGGCGAGCGGAGGGGCUGAGGGGCGGAGAGGCCUGGCGGGCCGCUGCUGCGGGCCAGGGGACGGGGGCGGAGCCGGAGCCGGAGCCGACGGGCGGUGCCCGCACUGGGACCCCGGAAUCCUGCGCGCUGCCCACGAUUCGCUUCUGAGGAACCUAGCAAGAUUGUACAAUGAAUGGUGAUUCUCGUGCUGCGGUGGUGACCUCACCACCCCCGACCACAGCCCCUCACAAGGAGAGGUACUUCGACCGAGUAGAUGAGAACAACCCAGAGUACUUGAGGGAGAGGAACAUGGCACCAGACCUUCGCCAGGACUUCAACAUGAUGGAGCAAAAGAAGAGGGUGUCCAUGAUUCUGCAAAGCCCUGCUUUCUGUGAAGAAUUGGAAUCAAUGAUACAGGAGCAAUUUAAGAAGGGGAAGAACCCCACAGGCCUAUUGGCUUUACAGCAGAUUGCAGAUUUUAUGACCACGAAUGUACCAAAUGUCUACCCAGCAGCUCCGCAAGGAGGGAUGGCUGCCUUAAACAUGAGUCUUGGUAUGGUGACUCCUGUGAACGAUCUUAGAGGAUCUGAUUCUAUUGCGUAUGACAAAGGAGAGAAGUUAUUACGGUGUAAAUUGGCAGCGUUUUAUAGACUAGCAGAUCUCUUUGGGUGGUCUCAGCUUAUCUACAAUCAUAUCACAACCAGAGUGAACUCCGAGCAGGAACACUUCCUCAUUGUCCCUUUUGGGCUUCUUUACAGUGAAGUGACUGCAUCCAGUUUGGUUAAGAUCAAUCUACAAGGAGAUAUAGUAGAUCGUGGAAGCACUAAUCUGGGAGUAAAUCAAGCCGGCUUCACCUUACACUCUGCAAUUUAUGCUGCACGCCCGGACGUGAAGUGCGUUGUGCACAUUCACACCCCAGCAGGGGCUGCGGUCUCUGCAAUGAAAUGUGGCCUCUUGCCAAUCUCCCCGGAGGCGCUUUCCCUUGGAGAAGUGGCUUAUCAUGACUACCAUGGCAUUCUGGUUGAUGAAGAGGAAAAAGUUUUGAUUCAGAAAAAUCUGGGGCCUAAAAGCAAGGUCAGUAGGCAUCUAAUCUGGUAUUUAAAUUACAGCAGAAAGAAGAAUAAAGCAAAGGACCAGUAUUCCCGCCCAGCUCCACAGAGCAUUCAUGCUUCCCCUCAGGUUCUUAUUCUCCGGAACCAUGGGCUCGUGUCAGUUGGAGAGAGCGUUGAGGAGGCCUUCUAUUACAUCCAUAACCUUGUGGUUGCCUGUGAGAUCCAGGUAGGGGACAGCCAUUCCAGUCACUCUACAGUUUAUUUAGAUGUGUCUGGGGUUCACAUCGAUUUUUUUUUUUUGAUACUUAUCGAGUAGGAGAGGAGUCUUUGAGCAAUCUCUUUGCCAAAGAUAAGCUCAUGGAUUUGGGACUUGAUCAGGACAAAUGCUGUUUCACUGAUUGAAGUUGGCAAAGGAUUACUGGGCUUUUCAUUUCUAAUUUUUAAAUUUUCAAAUAUGUCAGUCACUACCAUUUAUGGAGUACUGGUGUGUACAGGCCUGGCAUCAGGUGCUUAGUGUGUGUCAUCACAUGUGUGAUGUCACAUGACCCCCACAGUACUCUUUGAAAAAGCAGGUAUAAAGAGGUAGAGACUCAGAGACUUGCCUGCAGCUUACAGCUGUGAGUUCCCCUCCACUCUGUCAGCCCUUAGUUCACGUUCUCCCCUCUGCUUCUUGACUUAUGUCUGUGGUGUAGUGAGGUCCCAAGUCCUUUGUAGGAUCCUGAAAGGUGCUGUGUUUUCUCAUUUCUCUGCCAACUUUGGUGCCCAAUAUUUUUGUCAUGCUAAAGAAAUACUUCUGAAAGUAACCUUGUGAUCAGUCUGUCACUAUCCAUUCUACAUUUUUUAUUCUUACACUCUAGAGAUUUGGUUUCUUUUGAAACCUACAUUUUUAUUCAAGUCAUCUGACCCUCUUGAUCUCAGUAAGGAACUCAAGCCAUGCUGUGUGUGUUUUGGAAAAGGUUCGAACUCUGGCCAGUGCAGGAGGACCAGACAACUUAGUCCUGCUGAAUCCUGAGAAGUACAAAGCCAAGUCCCGUUCCCCAGGGUCUCCGGUAGGGGAAGGCACUGGAUCGCCUCCCAAGUGGCAGAUUGGUGAGCAGGAAUUUGAAGCCCUCAUGCGGAUGCUCGAUAAUCUGGUAAGAAUGGUGCCACCACUUGAUGAUAAACCUUUUGUUCUAAAAGCAUCAGUGUUGGUGUUCUUAUAGCAAGUGCGAUUGCUGUCUUUUAUGCAGUAUCUGAAUACCUUCACCUUCAAAGUCAUGAAGAAGCACUAGGGUUAACUUCUAAGGUAAAUUACAAUAAAAUGUAGAGGUGAAGGGUUCCUGGUAUUGUUUUAUUUUUUAAAGAUAACCUUGUGUUUGGACUCAGUGGGGACAAGAGCACAGAGAAUGCGUAGGCAGCUGGAUGACCAGCUGUGUCAGCUCAGUCCCCACCAUCCCACAAGCAAGCGAGAGAGGUGGCACUUUUGAAAUCGGUCAGUCAGGUAUUUAGGCUUUUGUCUUAACAGCAAAUCCUGGCUGUCUGGGGCCUGAUGACUGUGUUCCAUGGGUAUCCACUCCCUGUCCACAGUGUGGGAGCCCCUCAGCUGCUUAUUGCAGGGACACAGAGCCCGGCAUGGUCCAGAAGGCGGGCUUAUGGGGCCUGCAGCACACAGGGAAAGUGAGCCCACACUGUGAUAGGAGGGCGGACACACAGGAUGUGUUCUGUGUUACAGGGUUGCCGUGAAGAAUUUCAUUCUUUUGCAAGGACUGGAGAGAAAAUUUUAUGUGGAAGGUAGCCCUUGGAAAUGACCUCAAAGAAUAGGUAGGAUCUUAGCCUGAGUUUGAAAGCCUGGAAAAAAACAGGAUGACAGGAUGAAGAGGCCACAGCACAGCUGCAGACAGUGGGAGUGGGGAGAUGGGAACAUGCACCGUACGGUGCACCUUUCAGGUUCAUCUUGACUUUACCAGGAUCAUUAAAUACUCAGUUCUUAGAGCUGUAUUAGAACACUGCCCUUGGGGUCUCAGUCCC